UGCGUAGGCGGGUUAAUAAGUCAGUGGUGAAAUCCCUCAGCUCAACUGAGGAACUGCCAUUGAUACUGUUAGUCUUGAGUAUAGUUGAGGUGGGCGGAAUGUGUCAUGUAGCGGUGAAAUGCAUAGAUAUGACACAGAACACCGAUUGCGUAGGCAGCUCACUAAACUAUCACUGACGCUGAUGCACGAAAGCGUGGGUAGCGAACAGGAUUAGAUACCCCUGGUAGUCC
Molecule: ribosomal RNA, 230 nt
Filed under: uncultured bacterium
Lineage: Bacteria
Description: partial 16S ribosomal RNA
Rfam family: Bacterial small subunit ribosomal RNA
Source: RNAcentral